Molecule: ribosomal RNA, 466 nt
Filed under: uncultured bacterium
Lineage: Bacteria
Description: partial 16S ribosomal RNA
Rfam family: Bacterial small subunit ribosomal RNA
Source: RNAcentral
CCUACGGGACGCAGCAGUGAGGAAUAUUGGUCAAUGGCCGAGAGGCUGAACCAGCCAAGUCGCGUGAGGGAAGAAUGUCCUAUGGAUUGUAAACCUCUGUCAGCAGGGAAGAACGGUCACUGUGCUAAUCAGCAGUGAAUUGACGGUACCUGCAAAGGAAGCACCGGCUAACUCCGUGCCAGCAGCCGCGGUAAUACGGAGGGUGCGAGCGUUAAUCGGAAUUACUGGGCGUAAAGCGCUCGUAGGCGGUAUGUCAAGUCAAGGGUGAAAUCCCCGCGCUCAACGUGGGAACUGCCUUUGAAACUGGCAAACUGGAGUGUGUGAGAGGAUAGUGGAAUUCCAGGUGUAGGAGUGAAAUCCGGAGAUAUCUGGAGGAACAUCAGGGGCGAAGGCGACUAUCUGGCACAUAACUGACGCUGAGGAGCGAAAGCGUGGGUAGCAAACAGGAUUAGAUACCCCAGUAGUC